Molecule: long non-coding RNA, 2590 nt
Organism: Tachysurus fulvidraco (yellow catfish)
Lineage: Eukaryota; Metazoa; Chordata; Actinopteri; Siluriformes; Bagridae
Exons: 2
Source: RefSeq, a predicted model, not a curated record
UUCUGCUCAUUGGCUACACAUUUGUUUUGUUAGUCAGACUCAAUUUUCUGAAGCAUUUUCUGAUGCACCCCACCUUUAACUGUUGCACUACCACUUCCAAAUAUUCAGUAGGAAUUGACAGUGGUACACAUCUGUGUUUGAUGUAUAAGGUAAACAUGUACUAGAUAGAGUGUUACACAUAAAAUCCAAAUUUCUGCAAAUGAGGUGGCCACUGCGUAUUACCAUGCUGCAGCCUUGUAUUACUUUAUAGAUCUUAGAUUAUGUUAUGGACUUAAUAAUUAUUUUAUUGCCUUUUAGUCCAGUCUUUUUUUAAUCGCAUUUUGAAUUUUUGUAAAGCUGCUUCUGGUUUUUGGAGCAUCAGUCUGAAGGACAUAUUCUAGAGAUGCAGAUUUGAUCUAGAAAAGCUGUUCUAGCUGGAAUCAGACAAACAAAAGGAUAUAUAUGAAUAUAUUGAAAUACGUUUACAAUAUGGUAACUCAAAUAGCUAAAAUCCGAACAUAAUUGGAAUUUUUAGACUGAAAACUCAGAGCACCUGCUAACUCUGCUAAUUGGCAGAAAUGUAAAUGUAAACAUCUGCAGGCACUGAGUGAGAAUUUCAGAGCUAGAUCUCAUCUAUGGUUUGUGUGAAUAACAUUGUUUUUGUCAAAGUGUUUACUGACUUAAGGAGCUUGGAAGAAGUGACCCUACACCCAGUGUCGCUGUGGAUGCAACAAAGCCUUUGCUUGUAUACAGACUUGAUGAUCAACAGGCUCUCAAUAUAUAAUUGCCAUUGAAUAACGGAUCCUUUCAGGAGGCCUGCAGAACACUGAAGGUGUCUGGGGGAUACAUGAAAAUUCAUUGUCAUUCCAACAUUCCUCCUGCAUCCAUGUAAAGAGCAAAGCAAAUCUGUCCCGUAACGGGGUUGAUGCAGUUUCUGUUAAAGCACAUUAGUGAGAGUAAAAAAGGGGAGAUGAAAUGAGGAAGAAACCUUCAGAGGAAUCAGACAUAGAAGGGAAUGUGGGAAAAUAAUUUUAAGUCAUUGUUUUAUUUCCUUUUAGUUCUAGCAUAUUUCUGUGGAUCAUAUAGAAGCCCAAUCAAUUUACAAGGCUAGAGCUUCUCAUCUCACUAAACUUCUUCAGAUCCUCAAGCUCCAGAAUCUUCAGAUUUUUUUUUUCCGACGCAACUUUGAUUUGUUAUACUUGGCUGGAUAAACAAUGAUUCAUCGCGGCAUGGCUGAUCGGCAGGAACCACGCACACCCGACAGACACCGGCAACAGGUUACUCACCUAUAGCCGUGAUGCACUUUUACUACAUCGGUCCUCGCUGCUGUGUAACAUCAAGCCUGAUGUGCUUCUACCACCGGAGCUUCGGCCGAGGAAAAGAGGAAGACGUGGGGGUAUUCGCAGUAGAAUUAGAAAACGACCAUUCAAACCUCCUCUUCCCUCCAUCAUUCUGUCAAAUGUACACUCACUUCGCAAUAAAAUGGAUCCUUACUUCGACUGGAAAGGGCCUUCAGGGACAUCUGUAUCAUCGCCCUGUCAGAAACAUGGCUAGACCAGUCGGUCUCGGAUGCUGAAGUCAGUCUGGACAAUUUUACUGUAAUUAGGGCAGACAGAACUGAGCAAUCGGGGAAGACCCGCGGCGGUGGGGUGUGCUUGUACAUAAACAACAGGUGGUGUAAUAACAUCAAAGUACAUCACAAGUCAUGUACAGCCGAUUUGGAGAUACUAACUGUGUCCCUUCGUCCAUACUAUCUGCCCCGGGAAUUCCCUGUUGUUGUGGUCAGCUGUGUUUAUGUUGCCCCCAGCGCCAAUAUCAAUAAAGCAGCUGAGCUUAUAGCCGGGGAUGCUAACGACAAGUUAGCUAGGUAUCCCGGUGCACCACUGUUCAUUCUGGGGGACUUUAACAACUGCAAGUUGGACUGUGUGUUGCCGUCAUUCCAGCAGUAUGUUGAUAUUCCCACAAGGCGGGCAAACAUCCUGGAUAUGUGUUAUGGCAAUAUAACCGAUGCAUUUCGUUCCUGCUCUUAUCCACCGCUAGGAGCUGCCGAUCAUAACGUCAUCUUACUUCUCUCGCUGUAUAAACAACAACUGAAGAAACAUAGUCCACAAUGCUACAGUGCCCCACAGUGGUCGGAGGAUGCCAUCGCACGCCUACAUGGUUCCUUGGCAUGCACUGAUUGGAACAUUUUUGACGGGAAUCUGAAUGACAAGGCUUCUGUUAUUACUGAUUAUAUAAACUUUUGUAUCAAGCAAAGCACAUGCAUUCCUGUUAAAACAGUAAGGAAAUAUCCAAACUCUAAGCCAUGGAUUACUUCCCAAAUAAAACAAUGUCUUAAAGAAAAACAUAAAGCAUUUAGAGAGAAGAACUGGGUUAGCUUGAAAUUGGCAAACCGCAAUAUUAAGAAUGCUGUAUUUAAGGCAAAACUGAAAUACAAGGACAGACUGGAAAAAGAUUUUUCCAACAUGAACACAAAACAAGCAUUCCAGACAGUACGGACACUAACAAGAUGUGAACCCAGAACAACUUCUGCUCUAUGUUUAUGCUCUGUAAAGCCGCUUUGAGACAAUGUCUAUUGUAAAAAGCGCUAUACAAAUAAACUUGAAUUGAA